Molecule: ribosomal RNA, 116 nt
Filed under: Purpureocillium takamizusanense
Lineage: Eukaryota; Fungi; Ascomycota; Sordariomycetes; Hypocreales; Ophiocordycipitaceae
Source: RNAcentral
ACGAUCAUAGGCAGCGUAAAAUACGGGGUCCCGUUCGCUCCCCCAGAGUCAAGCCGCUGACCGGCAGAUUAGUAGCUGGAUCGGUGACGGCCAGCGAACACCGGCUAUUGUAUGUC